This 253-nucleotide ribosomal RNA is filed under the name uncultured bacterium. Its description in RNAcentral is "partial 16S ribosomal RNA". It matches the Rfam family "Bacterial small subunit ribosomal RNA", at positions 524 to 776 of the family's 1533-position model. The record is from RNAcentral.
UACGAAGGGGGCUAGCGUUGCUCGGAAUCACUGGGCGUAAAGGGUGCGUAGGCGGGUCUUUAAGUCAGGGGUGAAAUCCUGGAGCUCAACUCCAGAACUGCCUUUGAUACUGAGGAUCUUGAGUUCGGGAGAGGUGAGUGGAACUGCGAGUGUAGAGGUGAAAUUCGUAGAUAUUAGGAAGAACACCAGUGGCGAAGGCGGCUCACUGGCCCGGAACUGACGCUGAUGUGCGAAAGCGUGGGGAGCAAACAGG